Molecule: long non-coding RNA, 205 nt
Filed under: Panax ginseng (ginseng)
Lineage: Eukaryota; Viridiplantae; Streptophyta; Magnoliopsida; Apiales; Araliaceae
Description: long non-coding RNA (PGIN_LNC014913)
Source: RNAcentral
UCCUUCUUCAUAUUCAUCAGCUCCGGUGUGUAGCCUGAGCGAUUUUAACUUUAUCGAUAAAAGUCGAUUAUACUCGUAUAUCAUCACGUGGGUACCUAGAGUUUUCAUCUCCAUCUCUAAUAUUUGUAAGUUAUACGAAAUGAGUCUUUGACAAUAUCGUACUCGUACUCGUAUACGAUCUUUUACUCAACACGUCAGCUACCAC